GGCAGAAAGAGAAAAUAUUUUUUUCGGACGAAAUAUGGAAGAGCGAUUGGUGACAAAAAAUGGCACAUGGAAAUUUUUUCUGACGAAUGGCGGCGCCGACGUCACAGAUGUCAGAGAGCUCAUUCAAUGUCUGCCAGAAGAACGGGGAUUGCUAGCAAAUGAGGAUACCAAGAGAGGAAUGGGGGACGCUGGAUGAUGACGAAAUUCCAAACCUGUGUCCCAGGUAUUGGUUACAUUGGUUAAUGGAAGAGGAGCAGGGGAAAUUUCAUUCCAAGCUUUGAAUUCGUCGAAUCUCUCAACUGAAUGUCGCAGGCCGGCGCCUCAGUUUGUGAUGAACAUUCAAACAGUGCUAGUGCUCAUGAUAUCAAUUUUGAUCCCCUGUAUGCGUGCCGAAUGGUGGAGACCUAUAACUUGGUCUAGACCAGGUUGGUUUCGAAGGAAGGCAACUAUAAGCAAAAAACUGUCGGUCGAAGAUUCGAGGAAACUAGCGAUUGAUGUCGGAGCGGACGAUUGGUGCAUGGAUGAGAAAAGGAAGCGCUCCGAUGCUCGGACCAGAUGCGAGAGAGGGCACCAAGCUCUGCUGAAGUUGAAGCACGAGAGCGACUGCCAUUGCGGCUCCAGUCCCAAAUGUCGCUACGUGCCCCAGAAUCAUCGCCGCGAGUGCACAGUGCUGUCUGCUCCCAGCGACACUGUCACCUGCCCACGUCUAUAUCGGAGCAGAAGCAAACGGAAUUUGAUCAUAUUUAGAGAGUGCAUUGACAGCGUCAUCGCCACACUGCCGCCAUCCCUCGAGGCGGCCGAGUUGGAGCAUUUUGAACGAAAUGGCUGGUGGUCUGUCAAACGGCUAAAUUCGCUUCCGCACACUUUUCAUCACUUACACUCGCUUUCGAGCAGAUUUCCACCCAGCAAGAUCACUGAAAUUGACCGCGAAGCAUUGACCGAAAAAAUCAAAGAGAAUGUGGGGAAAUUGAUAAUGAUAGUGCUCUAUGCAAAACUAUGCGAUAGAUGGAUUAGAAUCAGUGACGAGGUCGAGAAACUAGCUCGUGCUUACCAAAACUCCGUUGUCUUCCUCAAACAUGACAUGGAUAAGAAACUAGAGGGAGUGGAGCUAUACGAUGAUUCGCCAUUACCAAGUUUCAUGUUUAUGCGUGGUAAUAAGAACGGCAAAUUGAUAUUGCAGGAGGCUCCGUACUUCACAACAGACGUCAAGAAACUUUGGUUGAAAUUACUUACGUACGGAGUCAAACCAGACAACGGUCAGUUGUCUCUUCAAGGAUCAAACUCUAGGCAACCGUCUCCUCAAAAAUCAAUUUCUAGGCAACCGUCUCCGCAAAAAUCUUUUUCUUCGUCGUAUGUACCUGUACAUUACAUAGACGGCAAGUGA
RNAcentral lists this long non-coding RNA (1384 nucleotides) under Bemisia tabaci. Its description in RNAcentral is "lncRNA ENSSSA1NGG013682". Lineage: Eukaryota; Metazoa; Arthropoda; Insecta; Hemiptera; Aleyrodidae. The record is from RNAcentral.